UACAGAGGGUGCGAGCGUUAAUCGGAAUUACUGGGCGUAAAGCGUGCGUAGACGGUUUCGUAAGUCGGGUGUGAAAUCCCCGGGCUCAACCUGGGAAUUGCAUUCGAAACUGCGAGGCUAGGGUACGGAAGAGGGAAGCGGAAUUUCUGGUGUAGCGGUGAAAUGCGUAGAUAUCAGGAGGAAUACCGGUGGUGCAGACGGCUCUCUGGACCGCAACUGACGCUGAGACACGAAAGCGUGGGUAGCAAACAGG
RNAcentral lists this ribosomal RNA (253 nucleotides) under uncultured bacterium. RNAcentral's name for it is "partial 16S ribosomal RNA". It matches the Rfam family "Bacterial small subunit ribosomal RNA", at positions 524 to 776 of the family's 1533-position model. The record is from RNAcentral.